AUAUUGUAGCUUGCUAUGGUAUAACUUAGUGGCAGACGGGUGAGUAAUGUAUAGGAAUCUACCUAGUAGUACGGAAUAAUUGUUGGAAACGGCAACUAAUACCGUAUACGCCCUAUGGGGAAAAAUUUAUUGCUAUUAGAUGAGCCUAUAUUAGAUUAGCUAGUUGGUGGAGUAAUAGCCUACCAAGGCAAUGAUCUAUAGCUGAUCUGAGAGGAUGAUCAGCCACACUGGAACUGAGAUACGGUCCAGACUCCUACGGGAGGCAGCAGUGGGGAAUAUUGGACAAUGGGCGAAAGCCUGAUCCAGCCAUGCCGCAUGAGUGAAGAAGGCCUUUGGGUUGUAAAGCUCUUUUAGUGAGGAAGAUAAUGACGGUACUCACAGAAGAAGUCCUGGCUAACUCCGUGCCAGCAGCCGCGGUAAUACGGAGAGGGCUAGCGUUAUUCGGAAUUAUUGGGCGUAAAGGGCGCGUAGGCUGGUUAAUAAGUUAAAAGUGAAAUCCCGAGGCUUAACCUUGGAAUUGCUUUUAAAACUAUUAAUCUAGAGAUUGAAAGAGGAUAGAGGAAUUCCUGAUGUAGAGGUAAAAUUCGUAAAUAUUAGGAGGAACACCAGUGGCGAAGGCGUCUAUCUGGUUCAAAUCUGACGCUGAAGCGCGAAGGCGUGGGGAGCAAACAGGAUUAGAUACCCUGGUAGUCCACGCUGUAAACGAUGAAUGUUAAAUAUGGGAAGUUUACUUUCUGUAUUACAGCUAACGCGUUAAACAUUCCGCCUGGGGACUACGGUCGCAAGAUUAAAACUCAAAGGAAUUGACGGGG
Molecule: ribosomal RNA, 812 nt
Filed under: Wolbachia sp.
Lineage: Bacteria; Pseudomonadati; Pseudomonadota; Alphaproteobacteria; Rickettsiales; Anaplasmataceae
Description: bacterial SSU rRNA
Rfam family: Bacterial small subunit ribosomal RNA
Source: RNAcentral